CCCUUAGAUGUUCUGGGCCGCACGCGUGCUACACUGAGUGGAUCAGCGGGUCAGGUUGCGCGAAAGUGUUUCCUAAUCUUUAAAUCCGCUCGUGAUGGGGAUUGACGGUUGCAAUUUUCCGUCAUGAACGAGGAAUACCUAGUAAGCGCGAGUCAUCAGCUCGCGUUGAUUACGUCCCUGCCCUUUGUACACACCGCCCGUCGCUACUACCGAUUGAAUGGUUUAGUGAGAUCUUCGGAUUGGCGCCAUCGUGGCUUCGCGGCCAUGACGGAUGGCCGAAAAGUUGAUCAAACUUGAUCAUUUAGAGGAAGUAAAAGUCGUAACA
This 325-nucleotide ribosomal RNA is filed under the name uncultured eukaryote. RNAcentral describes it as "partial 18S ribosomal RNA". It matches the Rfam family "Eukaryotic small subunit ribosomal RNA", at positions 1470 to 1796 of the family's 1831-position model. The record is from RNAcentral.